CAGUCGAGCGACGGAUAAGGAGCUUGCUCCUUUGAAGUUAGCGGCGGACGGGUGAGUAACACGUGGGUAACCUACCUAUAAGACUGGGAUAACUUCGGGAAACCGGAGCUAAUACCGGAUAACAUUUAGAACCGCAUGGUUCUAAAGUGAAAGAUGGUUUUGCUAUCACUUAUAGAUGGACCCGCGCCGUAUUAGCUAGUUGGUAAGGUAACGGCUUACCAAGGCGACGAUACGUAGCCGACCUGAGAGGGUGAUCGGCCACACUGGAACUGAGACACGGUCCAGACUCCUACGGGAGGCAGCAGUAGGGAAUCUUCCGCAAUGGGCGAAAGCCUGACGGAGCAACGCCGCGUGAGUGAUGAAGGGUUUCGGCUCGUAAAACUCUGUUAUUAGGGAAGAACAAAUGUGUAAGUAACUGUGCACAUCUUGACGGUACCUAAUCAGAAAGCCACGGCUAACUACGUGCCAGCAGCCGCGGUAAUACGUAGGUGGCAAGCGUUAUCCGGAAUUAUUGGGCGUAAAGCGCGCGUAGGCGGUUUCUUAAGUCUGAUGUGAAAGCCCACGGCUCAACCGUGGAGGGUCAUUGGAAACUGGGAAACUUGAGUGCAGAAGAGGAAAGUGGAAUUCCAUGUGUAGCGGUGAAAUGCGCAGAGAUAUGGAGGAACACCAGUGGCGAACGCGACUUUCUGGUCUGUAACUGACGCUGAUGUGCGAAAGCGUGGGGAUCAACCAGAUUAGAUACCCUGGUAGUCCACGCCGUAAACGAUGA
RNAcentral lists this ribosomal RNA (769 nucleotides) under Staphylococcus xylosus. RNAcentral's name for it is "bacterial SSU rRNA". It matches the Rfam family "Bacterial small subunit ribosomal RNA", at positions 59 to 812 of the family's 1533-position model. The record is from RNAcentral. Lineage: Bacteria; Bacillati; Bacillota; Bacilli; Caryophanales; Staphylococcaceae.